AACGCGAAGAACCUUACCUGGGUUUGACAUCCCCUGACAGCCGUAGAGAUACGGUUUUCGUAGCAAUACGACAGGGAGACAGGUGCUGCAUGGCUGUCGUCAGCUCGUGUGGUGACAUGUUGGGUUAAGUCCCGCAACGAGCGCAACCCUUGUCCUUAGUUGCCAGCAUUCAGUUGGGCUCUCUAGGGAGACUGCCGUGGUUAACACGGAGGAAGGUGGGGAUGACGUCAAGUCCUCAUGGCCUUUAUAUCCAGGGCGACACACGUGAUACAAUGGUCGGUACAGAGGGAAGCGAAGAGGCAACUCGGAGCCAAUCUCAAAAAGCCGAUCUCAGUUCGGAUUGGAGUCUGCAACUCGACUCCAUGAAGUUGGAAUCGCUAGUAAUCGCGGAUCAGCACGCCGCGGUGAAUACGUUCCCGGGCCUUGUACACACCGUAGUAC
Molecule: ribosomal RNA, 441 nt
Filed under: uncultured bacterium
Lineage: Bacteria
Description: bacterial SSU rRNA
Rfam family: Bacterial small subunit ribosomal RNA
Source: RNAcentral